AGGACGAACGCUGGCGGCGUGCUUAACACAUGCAAGUCGAGCGAGGCCCUUCCUUCGGGGAGGUGCCCUAGCGGCGAACGGGUGAGUAACACGUGGGCAACCUGCCCCUAGCACUGGGAUAACUCCGGGAAACCGGGGCUAAUACCGGAUAUGACCUUCUUGGGCAUCCUCGAAGGUGUAAAGGAUUCUGGCUAGGGAUGGGCCCGCGGCCUAUCAGCUUGUUGGUGGGGUAAUGGCCUACCAAGGCGACGACGGGUAGCCGGCCUGAGAGGGUGACCGGCCACACUGGGACUGAGACACGGCCCAGACUCCUACGGGAGGCAGCAGUGGGGAAUCUUGCACAAUGGGCGAAAGCCUGAUGCAGCGACGCCGCGUGAGGGAUGACUGCCUUCGGGUUGUAAAGCUCUGUGGGAGAGACGAAUAAGUCGUAGCUAAUACCUCCGAUGAUGACGGUAUCUCCUUAGCAAGCACCGGCUAACUCUGCGCCAGCAGCCG
RNAcentral lists this ribosomal RNA (495 nucleotides) under uncultured bacterium. RNAcentral's name for it is "SSU rRNA". It matches the Rfam family "Bacterial small subunit ribosomal RNA", at positions 26 to 517 of the family's 1533-position model. The record is from RNAcentral.